Sycon ciliatum is the source of this 632-nucleotide long non-coding RNA. RefSeq lists it as uncharacterized. Lineage: Eukaryota; Metazoa; Porifera; Calcarea; Leucosolenida; Sycettidae. The transcript is spliced from 3 exons. The record is from RefSeq and is a predicted model, not a curated record.
CAACAGCAACACAGUGCACCCCAUGAGUUGUACAGGUCAGGGAUACCCCGAACCUACAGUGACAGUAAUGGUCGAGAAUAUGGUAGUGACUGGCACUGAUACAAUCAAUUGUGCUGCUGGUGUUUGUACAAAAACACGAACAGCAUCACUAGAUGGUAGUACCUACACACCUGGUGACACCAUCAAUAUCACCUGUACUGUGGAUAUCAACCAACCACCAUUCACCUGUACUGCUGCCCAGAAUUCAACUUUACAGGCACAGUGUAGUACAUCUAUCCAGACCAGCUCACAAACAAGAACGGUUCCUGCAAUUGCGCAAUGUCCAAAUCUCACUGACGGCCAAUUCAAUUACAAACCUAUUGCCAGAUUCGACACACAACCAGGUACCCCAGUAUCCAUCGAGUGCAGAACAGGUUUUCUGUCUAACAAUAGUAUGGAAAUAACUCAGUCUACAUGCCAAAGCAACGGAAGGUGGCAACCAAUUCAACCAAUGUGUGAGAAUUGCAUGUUGGUAUGCAAUGACACUAAUGUGGUGGAUUGUAAUCAUGUACCAGCAGUGGGAAUGACAAUGGCAACUGUCAACUGUACUUGUGGACAAAACUUCCAAUGGACCAUGGGUGAAUGUCAACGUA